Sebastes umbrosus (honeycomb rockfish) is the source of this 354-nucleotide long non-coding RNA. RefSeq lists it as uncharacterized. The transcript has 3 exons. NCBI's taxonomy places the organism in Eukaryota, Metazoa, Chordata, Actinopteri, Perciformes, Sebastidae. The record is from RefSeq and is a predicted model, not a curated record.
CAAUUGGAAAAUUAUACAGUUUGUCAAAAUCUAUUUUAUCUUAUUAUACUUAUAUAAGAUACAGUUUUCACUCUGUUCAUCUCAGAGUUUUCAUUCACAUAUCUUGAGGUCAGAGGUCAAGGGACCCCUUUGAAAAUGGCUAUGCCAGUGUUCCCCUUGCCAAAAUUAAGCUCAAUUUUUGAGCGUUAUUUAGCCUCCUUCCCAACAAGCCAGUAUGAAAUGGUUGGUACCAAUGGAUUCCUUAGGUUUUUUAGUUUCAUAUGAUACCAGUAUCUUCACUCUAACUGAGCCUGAUACAACCUAAAAUGCAAGUUGCGUUAAUGCGUUAAAGAAAUUAGUAUCGUUAAAACUAAU